This 1357-nucleotide long non-coding RNA is filed under the name Nicotiana tabacum (common tobacco). RNAcentral describes it as "long non-coding RNA (NTAB_LNC003687)". Lineage: Eukaryota; Viridiplantae; Streptophyta; Magnoliopsida; Solanales; Solanaceae. The record is from RNAcentral.
CACAGAAGAAGUCAAGGGCAUAUUAUUGGCUUAAGAGGAUUCAUAUUAGAGUAUAAGAUAUACAGGCAUGCAUGGGAUCACUGUGGAUACUUAGUUAAACAAGAAAACAAAGUACAUACCAUAGACACAUUUCAUUGCUUAUAGAUUCUUGAUCAGAAGUGUUAUCAGCCAAGUAUUACAUAGAGGUGAACAGAAGUGUAUAUUUUACUAUCUUCAUUAUAGGUUGAAUGUUCCAGAAUUCUCCUAGGCAGAUUCAAGAUUAUAAGAACAAGCCACAAAUAUUUCUAAGGCUUCAGCAUAGCUAAGAGCAGGUAUACAUCUCACUAAGACCUCACCACCUUAACAGUUAGGCUAUAAAGUCACAAUAUACUAACACUUUGAUAUGCAAACAGGUUCACUAACAACAUUUUGUACAUGAGUCUGUGUGUGUGUAGGUUAUUACAACAUCAUGGAUUAGUUUAACAGUUAAAAUUAUUUAAACAAGGACAGAUAAUUAGGGUCAGUUUCUUAAUAGGAUCAGUCACUAAACUCAAAUUAUUUCAUUACCACAGAAAGAUUAGGACUACUAUAGGUGAACACAUAGAUGCAAGGAUAAACCUCUUCAAGCUACUGUCAUAAAAUGCUCUAUGGGCACAACAAUACUAAUACAACAGGUGUGAACUCAGGUGUAGAAACUAAGAAGAGUCAUGACAACAAAGAGUUUCAUGCAGCAGGGCUCAAACAAUUAGUAAAUGGCAUUCAUUCCAGAGGUUAAUCACAUUCAGAUAUGAGAACAUGCCUUCUAACAUACUGAUAGAGUUUAUUGUAUGAUCUCUUUUGUUUCCAACUAUCAUAAGAAGCACACAAAAAUUAUUCUGUUAAAAUAGUAUGAACAUGGCACUGGCUAGAGUCCAGAUAAAAAUCAUCAAUGACGCAAUCAUGUUCCUAGAACUAAGGCAAAAAUAACACAACAUCUCAAACAUCAAGAUGGCUUGGUGUUAACAAGUUAACAGUGUACUCAAGAGGAGCUUAAGCGUCUGAUUUCACAGGGAAAUAGUUACUUGACUGACAUAUUACAUACAAUAUUGUUGAUAUAAGAUUUAAUUAAUCAUGAAGCUUCAAUAGAGUCUAAGAGUAACAACAAUAUACAGAUUACUAGAUAUGCAAAACAAGCAGGUUAUCACAUUUACCAACUGAGAUUGUUAGAGUAGAUAAGUUGAAUACAAGACAUGAAAUAUAGGGAAUCCACUUAUAAGACCAACAUUAUGUCACAAGUAGGCGGGUCAAAUCAUCUAGAGGUACAAAAACACAAAGAGAAGUUUAAGAGCAUGAUUUAAGUUAGCUUAGCUGUCCUAGUUUUAUUGUUCAACUAACAGAG